This 460-nucleotide ribosomal RNA is filed under the name uncultured bacterium. Its description in RNAcentral is "partial 16S ribosomal RNA". It matches the Rfam family "Bacterial small subunit ribosomal RNA", at positions 338 to 795 of the family's 1533-position model. The record is from RNAcentral.
CCUACGGGAGGCAGCAGUGAGGAAUAUUGGUCAAUGGACGAGAGUCUGAACCAGCCAAGUAGCGUGAAGGAUGACUGCCCUAUGGGUUGUAAACUUCUUUUAUAUGGGAAUAAAACGUUCCACGUGUGGGCUUUUGUAUGUACCAUAUGAAUAAGGAUCGGCUAACUCCGUGCCAGCAGCCGCGGUAAUACGGAGGAUCCGAGCGUUAUCCGGAUUUAUUGGGUUUAAAGGGAGCGUAGGUGGAUUGUUAAGUCAGUUGUGAAAUUUUGGGGCUCAACCGGGAAAUUGCAGUUGAAACUGGCAGUCUGGAGUACGGUAGAGGUGGGCGGAAUUCGAGGUGUAGCGGUGAAAUGCUUAGAGAUGACGAAGAACUCCGAUUGCGAAGGCAGUUCACUGGACUGCAACUGACACUGAGGUUCGAAAGUGUGGGUAUCAAACAGGAUUAGAUACCCCUGUAGUC